CCAUCGGUGGUUCAGUGGUAGAAUGCUCGCCUGGCCCGGAUUGAUUCCCGGCCGAUGCA
Molecule: transfer RNA, 59 nt
Filed under: Cordylochernes scorpioides
Lineage: Eukaryota; Metazoa; Arthropoda; Arachnida; Pseudoscorpiones; Chernetidae
Description: tRNA-OTHER
Source: RNAcentral